UAAUAGCGUAUAUUAAUGUUGUUGCAGUUAAAAAGCUCGUAGUUGAAUUUCUGGUGGGAGAAGGCAGUCCGACCCUUUGGGUGGGUACUCGCUCUCUCCGGCCAUCCUUGGUUGGAGCCUGUCUGGCAUUAAGUUGUCGGGCAGGGGAUGACCAUCGUUUACUGUGAAAAAAUUUAGAGUGUUCAAAGCAGACUUAUGUCAUUGAAUAUAUUAGCAUGGAAUAAUAAAAUAGGACCGCAGUGCUAUUUUGUUGGUUUGCGCACCGUGGUAAUGAUGAAUAGGGACAGUUGUGGGUAUUAGUAUUCAGUUGUAAGAGGUGAAAUUCUUAGAUUAACGGAAGACUCACUACUGCGAAAGCAUUUACCAAGGAUGUUUUCAUUGAUCAAGAACGAAAGUUAGGGGAUCGAAGACGAUCAGAUACC
RNAcentral lists this ribosomal RNA (422 nucleotides) under uncultured eukaryote. Its description in RNAcentral is "SSU rRNA". It matches the Rfam family "Eukaryotic small subunit ribosomal RNA", at positions 592 to 1016 of the family's 1831-position model. The record is from RNAcentral.